This 484-nucleotide ribosomal RNA is filed under the name uncultured bacterium. Its description in RNAcentral is "partial 16S ribosomal RNA". It matches the Rfam family "Bacterial small subunit ribosomal RNA", at positions 30 to 507 of the family's 1533-position model. The record is from RNAcentral.
AUUGAACGCUGGCGGCAGGCCUAACACAUGCAAGUCGAGCGGAUGAAGGGAGCUUGCUCUUGGAUUCAGCGGCGGACGGGUGAGUAAUGCCUAGGAAUCUGCCUGGUAGUGGGGGAUAACGUCCGGAAACGGGCGCUAAUACCGCAUACGGCCUGAGGGAGAAAGUGGGGGAUCUUCGGACCUCACGCUAUCAGAUGAGCCUAGGUCGGAUUAGCUAGUUGGUGGGGUAAAGGCCUACCAAGGCGACGAUCCGUAACUGGUCUGAGAGGAUGAUCAGUCACACUGGAACUGAGACACGGUCCAGACUCCUACGGGAGGCAGCAGUUGGGAAUAUUGGACAAUGGGCGAAAGCCUGAUCCAGCCAUGCCGCGUGUGUGAAGAAGGUCUUCGGAUUGUAAAGCACUUUAAGUUGGGAGGAAGGGCAGUAAGUUAAUACCUUGCUGUUUUGACGUUACCAACAGAAUAAGCACCGGCUAACUUCGUG